RNAcentral lists this ribosomal RNA (468 nucleotides) under uncultured bacterium. Its description in RNAcentral is "partial 16S ribosomal RNA". It matches the Rfam family "Bacterial small subunit ribosomal RNA", at positions 28 to 507 of the family's 1533-position model. The record is from RNAcentral.
GACGAACGCUGGCGGCGUGCUUAACACAUGCAAGUCGAACGGAAAGGCCCUGCUUUUGUGGGGUGCUCGAGUGGCGAACGGGUGAGUAACACGUGAGUAACCUGCCCUUGACUUUGGGAUAACUUCAGGAAACUGGGGCUAAUACCGGAUAGGAGCUCCUGCUGCAUGGUGGGGGUUGGAAAGUUUCGGCGGUUGGGGAUGGACUCGCGGCUUAUCAGCUUGUUGGGGGGGUAGUGGCUUACCAAGGCUUUGACGGGUAGCCGGCCUGAGAGGGUGACCGGCCACAUUGGGACUGAGAUACGGCCCAGACUCCUACGGGAGGCAGCAGUGGGGAAUAUUGCACAAUGGGCGGAAGCCUGAUGCAGCAACGCCGCGUGCGGGAUGACGGCCUUCGGGUUGUAAACCGUUUUCGCCUGUGACGAAGCGUGAGUGACGGUAAUGGGUAAAGAAGCACCGGCUAACUACGUG